UACAGAGGUGGCAAGCGUUGUUCGGAAUUACUGGGCGUAAAGCGCGUGUAGGCGGCUUAGCAAGUCGGGCGUGAAAGCCCUCGGCUCAACCGAGGAAGUGCACCCGAAACUGCUGAGCUUGAGUGCCGGAGAGGAUGGCGGAAUACCCCAAGUAGAGGUGAAAUUCGUAGAUAUGGGGUGGAACACCGGUGGCGAAGGCGGCCAUCUGGACGGUAACUGACGCUGAGACGCGAAAGCGUGGGUAGCAAACAGG
This 253-nucleotide ribosomal RNA is filed under the name uncultured bacterium. RNAcentral describes it as "partial 16S ribosomal RNA". It matches the Rfam family "Bacterial small subunit ribosomal RNA", at positions 524 to 776 of the family's 1533-position model. The record is from RNAcentral.